Molecule: non-coding RNA, 74 nt
Organism: Podarcis lilfordi (Lilford's wall lizard)
Lineage: Eukaryota; Metazoa; Chordata; Lepidosauria; Squamata; Lacertidae
Source: the annotation of a GenBank genome assembly
UGCAGGUUAGCUCAGCCAGCACAGCAUGAGACAGUUAAUCUCAGGGUUGUGGGUUUGAGCCCUACGUCGGGCAA